This 497-nucleotide ribosomal RNA is filed under the name uncultured bacterium. RNAcentral's name for it is "partial 16S ribosomal RNA". It matches the Rfam family "Bacterial small subunit ribosomal RNA", at positions 28 to 507 of the family's 1533-position model. The record is from RNAcentral.
GAUGAACGCUGGCGGCGUGCCUAAUACAUGCAAGUCGAGCGAACGGACGAGAAGCUUGCUUCUCUGAUGUUAGCGGCGGACGGGUGAGUAACACGUGGAUAACCUACCUAUAAGACUGGGAUAACUUCGGGAAACCGGAGCUAAUACCGGAUAAUAUUUUGAACCGCAUGGUUCAAAAGUGAAAGACGGUCUUGCUGUCACUUAUAGAUGGAUCCGCGCUGCAUUAGCUAGUUGGUAAGGUAACGGCUUACCAAGGCAACGAUGCAUAGCCGACCUGAGAGGGUGAUCGGCCACACUGGAACUGAGACACGGUCCAGACUCCUACGGGAGGCAGCAGUAGGGAAUCUUCCGCAAUGGGCGAAAGCCUGACGGAGCCACGCCGCGUGAGUGAUGAAGGUCUUCGGAUCGUAAAGCUCUGUUAUUAGGGAAGAACAUAUGUGUAAGUAACUGUGCACAUCUUGACGGUACCUAAUCAGAAAGCCACGGCUAACUACGUG